This 875-nucleotide unclassified non-coding RNA is filed under the name Hevea brasiliensis (rubber tree). The record is from RNAcentral. Lineage: Eukaryota; Viridiplantae; Streptophyta; Magnoliopsida; Malpighiales; Euphorbiaceae.
CUUUCUCCAUCUCAAGCUGAAAUGGCAACUCUUACAAGAAAAAACUUGGCAAUCAUUGUUUUAGCAGGAAUUUUCGCUGGUGUCUUACCAGCUUACGUAGCGGCUCAAAACUGUGGCUGUGCAGCAAAUGAGUGCUGUAGCAGAUGGGGUUUCUGUGGCACCACCGAAGAAUAUUGUGGCACUGGGUGCCAAGAAGGUCCUUGUAUUGCUCCUCCUCCUACAAAUGAUGUCUCAGUGCCUGAUAUCGUGACAACAGAAUUUUUCAAUGGAAUAAUUGAUCAGGCUGAGGAUAGUUGUGUGGGAAAGAGCUUCUACUCUCGAGAGGUGUUUCUUGAUGCUCUGAGCUCGUAUCCUCGGUUCGGCAGGGUUGGGUCGGUUGAUGAUUCCAAGCGUGAGAUCGCAGCUUUCUUUGCACAUGUCACCCAUGAGACUGGACACUUUUGCUACAUAGAAGAGAUAAAUGGUGCUUCCAGGGACUACUGUGACGAGGACAACACACAAUAUCCAUGUAAUCCUGACAAAGGAUACUAUGGCCGCGGACCAAUUCAACUAUCAUGGAACUUCAACUAUGGACCAGCGGGAGAAAGCAUUGGGUUCGACGGAUUGAACUCUCCCGAAACUGUAGCCAAUGAUCCAUUGAUUUCAUUUAAGACUGCUCUCUGGUAUUGGAUGAACAAUGUCCAACCCGUCAUAAGCCAAGGGUUUGGGGCGACGAUUCGAGCCAUUAAUGGUGCUCUUGAAUGCGAUGGUGGAAACCCUGCUACCGUUCAAGCCCGCGUAGGGUAUUAUACUGAUUAUUGCAGCCAACUUGGCGUUGCCCCAGGGGAUAAUCUCACUUGUUAGGACGACUACGUCAGAAAUACAUUCAUAUUUUG